GAUGAACGCUGGCGGCGUGCUUAACACAUGCAAGUCGAACGAAGCAUUUAAGACAGAUUCCUUCGGUUUGAAGUCUUUUAUGACUGAGUGGCGGACGGGUGAGUAACGCGUGGGUAACCUGCCUCAUACAGGGGGAUAGCAGCUGGAAACGGCUGGUAAUACCGCAUAAGCGCACAGUACCACAUGGUACAGUGUGAAAAACUCCGGGGGUAUGAGAUGGACCCGCGUCUGAUUAGCUUGUUGGCGGGGUAACGGCCCACCAAGGCGACGAUCAGUAGCCGACCUGAGAGGGUGACCGGCCACAUUGGGACUGAGACACGGCCCAGACUCCUACGGGAGGCAGCAGUGGGGAAUAUGGCACAAUGGAGGAAACUCUGAUGCAGCGACGCCGCGUGAGUGAAGAAGUAGUUCGCUAUGUAAAGCCCUAUCAGCAGGGAAGAUAGGGACGGUACCUGACUAAGAAGCUCCGGCUAAAUACGU
Molecule: ribosomal RNA, 480 nt
Filed under: uncultured bacterium
Lineage: Bacteria
Description: partial 16S ribosomal RNA
Rfam family: Bacterial small subunit ribosomal RNA
Source: RNAcentral